This 436-nucleotide ribosomal RNA is filed under the name Alternaria sp. NY7853c. Its description in RNAcentral is "eukaryotic LSU rRNA". The stretch from base 132 to 285 matches the Rfam family "5.8S ribosomal RNA". The record is from RNAcentral. Lineage: Eukaryota; Fungi; Ascomycota; Dothideomycetes; Pleosporales; Pleosporaceae.
UUACAGCCUUGCUGAAUUAUUCACCCUUGUCUUUUGCGUACUUCUUGUUUCCUUGGUGGGUUCGCCCACCACUAGGACAAACAUAAACCUUUUGUAAUUGCAAUCAGCGUCAGUAACAAAUUAAUAAUUACAACUUUCAACAACGGAUCUCUUGGUUCUGGCAUCGAUGAAGAACGCAGCGAAAUGCGAUAAGUAGUGUGAAUUGCAGAAUUCAGUGAAUCAUCGAAUCUUUGAACGCACAUUGCGCCCUUUGGUAUUCCAAAGGGCAUGCCUGUUCGAGCGUCAUUUGUACCCUCAAGCUUUGCUUGGUGUUGGGCGUCUUGUCUCUAGCUUUGCUGGAGACUCGCCUUAAAGUAAUUGGCAGCCGGCCUACUGGUUUCGGAGCGCAGCACAAGUCGCACUCUCUAUCAGCAAAGGUCUAGCAUCCAUUAAGCCU